Molecule: ribosomal RNA, 303 nt
Filed under: uncultured bacterium
Lineage: Bacteria
Description: partial 16S ribosomal RNA
Rfam family: Bacterial small subunit ribosomal RNA
Source: RNAcentral
AGCAGUAUCCGCGGUAAUACAGAGGGUGCGAGCGUUAAUCGGAUUUACUGGGCGUAAAGCGUGCGUAGGCGGCUUCUUAAGUCGGAUGUGAAAUCCCUGAGCUUAACUUAGGAAUUGCAUUCGAUACUGGGAAGCUAGAGUAUGGGAGAGGAUGGUAGAAUUCCAGGUGUAGCGGUGAAAUGCGUAGAGAUCUGGAGGAAUACCGAUGGCGAAGGCAGCCAUCUGGCCUAAUACUGACGCUGAGGUACGAAAGCAUGGGGAGCAAACAGGAUUAGAUACCCCCGUAGUCCCUGUCUCUUAUAC